This 29-nucleotide non-coding RNA is filed under the name Cricetulus griseus (Chinese hamster). The record is from RNAcentral. Lineage: Eukaryota; Metazoa; Chordata; Mammalia; Rodentia; Cricetidae.
GAUAACUGUUACUACUGGGUAGAGGAAAU